Rhagoletis zephyria (snowberry fruit fly) is the source of this 115-nucleotide long non-coding RNA. RefSeq lists it as uncharacterized. Lineage: Eukaryota; Metazoa; Arthropoda; Insecta; Diptera; Tephritidae. The record is from RefSeq and is a predicted model, not a curated record.
GUACAUACACAUCAUAAAUUCAGGGCCGUAUUUAAGGACAAUCGCCUAACUUCGGCAAUUUGUAUGCGAUUGCAAUAAAUGAGCUAUCAGUUUAUUUAAAAAUAGAUUUAAUUUA